This 254-nucleotide ribosomal RNA is filed under the name uncultured bacterium. RNAcentral's name for it is "partial 16S ribosomal RNA". It matches the Rfam family "Bacterial small subunit ribosomal RNA", at positions 524 to 776 of the family's 1533-position model. The record is from RNAcentral.
CACGUAGGGGGCGAGCGUUGUCCGGAUUUAUUGGGCGUAAAGAGCUCGUAGGCGGCUCGGUAAGUCGGGUGUGAAACCUCCAGGCUCAACCUGGAGACGCCACCUGAUACUGCUGUGGCUAGAGUCCGGUAGGGGAGUGUGGAACUCCUGGUGUAGCGGUGAAAUGCGCAGAUAUCAGGAAGAACACCAGCGGCGAAGGCGGCACCCUGGGCCGGAACUGACGCUGAGGAGCGAAAGCGUGGGUAGCAAACAGG